GAUGAAGAACGUAGCGAAAUGCGAUACUUGGUGUGAAUUGCAGAAUCCCGCGAAUCAUCGAAUUUUUGAACGCAAGUUGCGCCCGAAGCCAUUCGGCCGAGGGCACGUCUGCCUGGGUGUCACGCAUCGUUGCCCCCCCAAACUCCGGUUCGGGCGGGGCGGAAGUUGGCCUCCCGUGCGUGCCUGCGCGCGCGGUUAGCCCAAAAGCGAGUCCUCGGCGAUGAGCGCCACGACAAUCGGUGGUUUUUUUACCCUCGUUCCUCGUCGUGCGUGCCCCGUCGCCCGAACGCGCUCUUGCAACCCUUACGCGUCGCCUCGGUGGCGCUCCCAACGCGACCCCAGGUCAGGCAGGACUACCCGCUGAGUUUAAGCAUAUCAAUAAGCGGAGGA
This 390-nucleotide unclassified non-coding RNA is filed under the name soil metagenome. Its description in RNAcentral is "partial contains 5.8S ribosomal RNA, internal transcribed spacer 2, and large subunit ribosomal RNA". The stretch from base 1 to 122 matches the Rfam family "5.8S ribosomal RNA", at positions 35 to 154 of the family's 154-position model. The record is from RNAcentral.